AUUGAAUGCUGGAGGCAUGCCUUACCCAUGCAAGUCGAACGGUAACAGGUCUUCGGAUGCUGACGAGUGGCGAACGGGUGAGUAAUACAUCGGAACGUGCCUAGUAGUGGGGGAUAACUACACGAAAGAGUGGCUAAUAUCGCAUGAGCUCUACGGAUGAAAGCAGGGGAUCGCAAGACCUGGUGAUACUAGAGUGGCCGAUGGCAGAUUAGGUAGUUGGUGGGAUAAAAGCUUACCAAGCCGACGAUCUGUAGGUGGUCUGAGAGGACGAUCAGCCACACUGGGACUGAGACACGGCCCAGACUCCUACGGGAGGCAGCAGUGGGGAAUUUUGGACAAUGGGCGAAAGCCUGAUCCAGCAAUGCCGCGUGCAAGAUGAAGGCCUUCGGGUUGUAAACUGCUUUUGUACGGAACGAAAAGCCCCGGGUUAAUUCCCUGGGGUCAUGACGGUACCGUAAGAAUAAGCACCGGCUAACUACGUGGCAGCCGCCGCGGUAA
Molecule: ribosomal RNA, 498 nt
Filed under: uncultured bacterium
Lineage: Bacteria
Description: partial 16S ribosomal RNA
Rfam family: Bacterial small subunit ribosomal RNA
Source: RNAcentral